GAUGAACGCUGGCGGCGUGCCUAAUACAUGCAAGUCGAGCGAACGGACGAGAAGCUUGCUUCUCUGAUGUUAGCGGCGGACGGGUGAGUAACACGUGGAUAACCUACCUAUAAGACUGGGAUAACUUCGGGAAACCGGAGCUAAUACCGGAUAAUAUUUUGAACUGCAUGGUUCAAAAGUGAAAGACGGUCUUGCUGUCACUUAUAGAUGGAUCCGCGCUGCAUUAGCUAGUUGGUAAGGUAACGGCUUACCAAGGCAACGAUGCAUAGCCGACCUGAGAGGGUGAUCGGCCACACUGGAACUGAGACACGGUCCAGACUCCUACGGGAGGCAGCAGUAGGGAAUCUUCCGCAAUGGGCGAAAGCCUGACGGAGCAACGCCGCGUGAGUGAUGAAGGUCUUCGGAUCGUAAAACUCUGUUAUUAGGGAAGAACAUAUGUGUAAGUAACUGUGCACAUCUUGACGGUACCUAAUCAGAAAGCCACGGCUAACUACGUGCCAGCAGCCGCGGUAAUACGUAGGUGGCAAGCGUUAUCCGGAAUUAUUGGGCGUAAAGCGCGCGUAGGCGGUUUUUUAAGUCUGAUGUGAAAGCCCACGGCUCAACCGUGGAGGGUCAUUGGAAACUGGAAAACUUGAGUGCAGAAGAGGAAAGUGGAAUUCCAUGUGUAGCGGUGAAAUGCGCAGAGAUAUGGAGGAACACCAGUGGCGAAGGCGACUUUCUGGUCUGUAACUGACGCUGAUGUGCGAAAGCGUGGGGAUCAAACAGGAUUAGAUACCCUGGUAGUCCACGCCGUAAACGAUGAGUGCUAAGUGUUAGGGGGUUUCCGCCCCUUAGUGCUGCAGCUAACGCAUUAAGCACUCCGCCUGGGGAGUACGACCGCAAGGUUGAAACUCAAAGGAAUUGACGGGGACCCGCACAAGCGGUGGAGCAUGUGGUUUAAUUCGAAGCAACGCGAAGAACUUUACCAAAUCUUGACAUCCUUUGACAACUCUAGAGAUAGAGCUUUCCCCUUCGGGGGACAAAGUGACAGGUGGUGCAUGGUUGUCGUCAGCUCGUGUCGUGAGAUGUUGGGUUAAGUCCCGCAACGAGCGCAACCCUUAAGCUUAGUUGCCAUCAUUAAGUUGGGCACUCUAAGUUGACUGCCGGUGACAAACCGGAGGAAGGUGGGGAUGACGUCAAAUCAUCAUGCCCCUUAUGAUUUGGGCUACACACGUGCUACAAUGGACAAUACAAAGGGCAGCGAAACCGCGAGGUCAAGCAAAUCCCAUAAGGUUGUUCUCAGUUCGGAUUGUAGUCUGCAACUCGACUACAUGAAGCUGGAAUCGCUAGUAAUCGUAGAUCAGCAUGCUACGGUGAAUACGUUCCCGGGUCU
This 1372-nucleotide ribosomal RNA is filed under the name uncultured bacterium. RNAcentral describes it as "bacterial SSU rRNA". It matches the Rfam family "Bacterial small subunit ribosomal RNA", at positions 28 to 1381 of the family's 1533-position model. The record is from RNAcentral.